Molecule: long non-coding RNA, 157 nt
Organism: Phyllostomus discolor (pale spear-nosed bat)
Lineage: Eukaryota; Metazoa; Chordata; Mammalia; Chiroptera; Phyllostomidae
Exons: 3
Source: RefSeq, a predicted model, not a curated record
CAAAAAAAGGAAAAAAACUCAAAAAGAACAAAGAUGGCUUAAGAGAACUUCAGCACAUAAUGAAACAUAAUCAUAUCAGUAUAAUAGAGAUAGCAGAAGAAGAGGAGGAAGGAAUAGAAAACCUGUUUGAAAAAAUAGUACUAGAAAACUUCCCUAA